Molecule: ribosomal RNA, 464 nt
Filed under: uncultured Klebsiella sp.
Lineage: Bacteria; Pseudomonadati; Pseudomonadota; Gammaproteobacteria; Enterobacterales; Enterobacteriaceae
Description: bacterial SSU rRNA
Rfam family: Bacterial small subunit ribosomal RNA
Source: RNAcentral
CCUACGGGGGGCUGCAGUGGGGAAUAUUGCACAAUGGGCGCAAGCCUGAUGCAGCCAUGCCGCGUGUGUGAAGAAGGCCUUCGGGUUGUAAAGCACUUUCAGCGGGGAGGAAGGCGGUGAGGUUAAUAACCUCAUCGAUUGACGUUACCCGCAGAAGAAGCACCGGCUAACUCCGUGCCAGCAGCCGCGGUAAUACGGAGGGUGCAAGCGUUAAUCGGAAUUACUGGGCGUAAAGCGCACGCAGGCGGUCUGUCAAGUCGGAUGUGAAAUCCCCGGGCUCGACCUGGGAACUGCAUUCGAAACUGGCAGGCUAGAGUCUUGUAGAGGGGGGUAGAAUUCCAGGUGUAGCGGGAAAUGCGUAGAGAUCUGGAGGAAUACCGGUGGCGAAGGCGGCCCCCUGGACAAAGACUGACGCUCAGGUGCGAAAGCGUGGGGAGCAAACAGGAUUAGAUACCCUAGUAGUC